GACGAACGCUGGCGGCGUGCUUAACACAUGCAAGUCGAACGAAGUGGCGAACGGGUGAGUAACGCGUAAUCAACCUGCCCUUCAGAGGGGGAUAACAGUUGGAAACGACUGCUAAUACCCCAUACUGAAGGAGGGGAUUGCGUCUGAUUAGCUAGUUGGAGGGGUAACGGCCCACCAAGGCGAUGAUCAGUAGGCGGGCUGGGAGGAUGAACGGCCAAAAUGGGAAUGGGACAAGGCCCAGAAUCCUACGGGAGGCAGCAGUGGGGAAUCUUCGGAAAUGGACGAAAGUCUGACGGAGCAACGCCGCGUGAGUGAUGACGGCCUUCGGGGUGUAAAGCUAUGUUAAUCGGGACGCGGUACCGGAAUAGAAAGCCACGGCCAACUACGUGCCAGCAGCCGCGGUAAUUC
RNAcentral lists this ribosomal RNA (408 nucleotides) under uncultured bacterium. RNAcentral's name for it is "partial 16S ribosomal RNA". It matches the Rfam family "Bacterial small subunit ribosomal RNA", at positions 28 to 526 of the family's 1533-position model. The record is from RNAcentral.